This 468-nucleotide ribosomal RNA is filed under the name uncultured bacterium. RNAcentral's name for it is "partial 16S ribosomal RNA". It matches the Rfam family "Bacterial small subunit ribosomal RNA", at positions 28 to 507 of the family's 1533-position model. The record is from RNAcentral.
GACGAACGCUGGCGGCGUGCUUAACACAUGCCAGUCGAACGGAAAGGCCCUGCUUUUGUGGGGUGCUCGAGUGGCGAACGGGUGAGUAACACGUGAGUAACCUGCCCUUGACUUUGGGAUAACUUCAGGAAACUGGGGCUAAUACCGGAUAGGAGCUCCUGCUGCAUGGUGGGGGUUGGAAAGUUUCGGCGGUUGGGGAUGGACUCGCGGCUUAUCAGCUUGUUGGUGGGGUAGUGGCUUACCAAGGCUUUGACGGGUAGCCGGCCUGAGAGGGUGACCGGCCACAUUGGGACUGAGAUACGGCCCAGACUCCUACGGGAGGCAGGAGGGGGGAAUAUUGCACAAUGGGCGGAAGCCUGAUGCAGCAACGCCGCGUGCGGGAUGACGGCCUUCGGGGUGUAAACCGCUUUCGCCUGGGACGAAGCGGGAGUGACGGUAAUGGGUAAAGAAGCACCGGCUAACUACGUG